Molecule: transfer RNA, 64 nt
Filed under: Paracatonidia sp. SX-2018
Lineage: Eukaryota; Metazoa; Arthropoda; Insecta; Hemiptera; Achilidae
Description: tRNA-Met
Source: RNAcentral
AAAAAGAUAAGCUAAAAUAAGCUAAUGGGUUCAUACCUCAUUCAUGAAAAAAAUUCUCUUUUUA